CAGAGGUCUCAACCGUUGUUCGGAUUCAUUGGGCGUAAAGGGUGCGUAGGCGGUCGCGCAAGUCGGAUGUGAAAUCUUAGGGCUCAACCCUGAAACUGCAUUCGAUACUGCGUGGCUAGAGUACUGGAGAGGAGACUGGAAUUUACGGCGUAGCAGUGAAAUGCGUAGAUAUCAUAAGGAAGACCAGUGGCGAAGGCGAGUCUCUGGACAGUUACUGACGCUGAGGCACGAAGGCCAGGGGAGCAAACGGGAUUAGAUACCCCGGUAGUCCUGGCAGUAAACGGUGUACGUUUGGUGUAGGCGGAUUCGACCCCGCCUGUGCCGGAGCUAACGCGUUAAACGUACCGCCUGGGAAGUACGGUCGCAAGAUUA
Molecule: ribosomal RNA, 372 nt
Filed under: uncultured organism
Description: bacterial SSU rRNA
Rfam family: Bacterial small subunit ribosomal RNA
Source: RNAcentral